RNAcentral lists this transfer RNA (63 nucleotides) under Dipodomys ordii (Ord's kangaroo rat). Lineage: Eukaryota; Metazoa; Chordata; Mammalia; Rodentia; Heteromyidae. The record is from Rfam by way of RNAcentral.
GGCGCUGUGGCUCAAGUGGUAGAGCACCAGCCCUAGGAGCUGAUGAGCUGAGGGACAGCGCCC